This 484-nucleotide ribosomal RNA is filed under the name uncultured bacterium. RNAcentral's name for it is "partial 16S ribosomal RNA". It matches the Rfam family "Bacterial small subunit ribosomal RNA", at positions 28 to 507 of the family's 1533-position model. The record is from RNAcentral.
AUUGAACGCUGGCGGCAUGCUUUACACAUGCCAGUCGAACGGCAGCGCGGGCUUCGGCCUGGCGGCGAGUGGCGAACGGGUGAGUAAUGCAUCGGAACGUGCCCAGUAGUGGGGGAUAGCCCGGCGAAAGCCGGAUUAAUACCGCAUACGACCUGAGGGUGAAAGCGGGGGACCGAAAGGCCUCGCGCUAUUGGAGCGGCCGAUGUCGGAUUAGCUAGUUGGUGGGGUAAAGGCUUACCAAGGCGACGAUCCGCAGCUGGUCUGAGAGGACGACCAGCCACACUGGAACUGAGACACGGCCCAGACUCCUACGGGAGGCAGCAGUGGGGAAUUUUGGACAAUGGGGGCAACCCUGAUCCAGCCAUGCCGCGUGCGGGAAGAAGGCCUUCGGGUUGUAAACCGCUUUUGUUCGGGAAGAAAGCCGCUGGGCUAAUACCCCGGGGGGAUGACGGUACCGGAAGAAUAAGCACCGGCUAACUACGUG